RNAcentral lists this small RNA (17 nucleotides) under Arabidopsis thaliana (thale cress). RNAcentral's name for it is "ATSL278040". Lineage: Eukaryota; Viridiplantae; Streptophyta; Magnoliopsida; Brassicales; Brassicaceae. The record is from RNAcentral.
UUUUUUUUUGGUUUUGU